GAUCCUGGCUCAGGACGAACGCUGGCGGCGUGCCUAAUACAUGCAAGUCGAGCGCGGGAAGCGAGUGGAUCCCUUCGGGGUGAAGCUCGUGGAACGAGCGGCGGACGGGUGAGUAACACGUGGGCAACCUGCCUGUAAGAUCGGAAUAACCCCGGGAAACCGGGGCUAAUGCCGGGUAAUACUUUCUUUCGCAUGAAGGAAAGUUGAAAGAUGGCUUCUCGCUAUCACUUACAGAUGGGCCCGCGGCGCAUUAGCUAGUUGGUGAGGUAACGGCUCACCAAGGCGACGAUGCGUAGCCGACCUGAGAGGGUGAUCGGCCACACUGGGACUGAGACACGGCCCAGACUCCUACGGGAGGCAGCAGUAGGGAAUCUUCCGCAAUGGACGAAAGUCUGACGGAGCAACGCCGCGUGAACGAUGAAGGUCUUCGGAUCGUAAAGUUCUGUUGUUAGGGAAGAACAAGUACCGUGCGAAUAGGAGCGGUACCUUGAC
RNAcentral lists this ribosomal RNA (492 nucleotides) under Halobacillus trueperi. RNAcentral's name for it is "bacterial SSU rRNA". It matches the Rfam family "Bacterial small subunit ribosomal RNA", at positions 15 to 473 of the family's 1533-position model. Lineage: Bacteria; Bacillati; Bacillota; Bacilli; Caryophanales; Bacillaceae. The record is from RNAcentral.